CAGAGACACUGAGGGAUUCAGAGUGAGAAGCCGCAUCACUGUUUAUAACUCAGACAGGAUCCACUGCAGACUUCUACAGAGACACCACCUGAGGGAGGCUGAGAUCUUCAUCACCAGUGAAGUCUGUCAUUUCUGGAGGUCUGCCAUCAUCACCAUCCCAGUUUUAGUGGUGGUAAUUGUUUUUGGACUGAUAACAGCUGCAGUUAUGUAUCACAAGAAAUAUGUGCAGUGGAAAAUUCUAAAGAAAGG
RNAcentral lists this long non-coding RNA (249 nucleotides) under Astyanax mexicanus (Mexican tetra). RNAcentral describes it as "lncRNA (ENSAMXG00005011133.1)". The record is from RNAcentral. Lineage: Eukaryota; Metazoa; Chordata; Actinopteri; Characiformes; Acestrorhamphidae.